Molecule: long non-coding RNA, 1909 nt
Organism: Oreochromis aureus
Lineage: Eukaryota; Metazoa; Chordata; Actinopteri; Cichliformes; Cichlidae
Source: Ensembl
CGUCCUCCUCCCUCUCGGAUCAGUCCGUAUGUUCACGGUGCAUUUGUUAUGGAAUAUGUUGAGCAAACCUGGAGAAGCUUCAGCUCAAGAUAUUAAUGUUGUCAUUGCUGUGGAUCUUUACCUGAUACACUGACUUGUGGUGUGGCAGCCAUGAGUGAGCCCUGCAAACCCUGUGGCUGGAGGAUGCAGUGGACAGUGGGAGGAAGCAUCCUGAAGCUCUCUUUGCAGACCACCCUGUGUGAUUCUCCACUCGCCCACCAGAAAAGACAAACCGCAGGUCUCAGUUGCAGCAGCUCAUCCACGUCUGAUCUUGCUCGGGCAGAUUCAGCAACACUGCCAGAGACUUCCUGUAAUCUAUUACAGUUGUUAAAGAAACGGUCCAGGAACAGGUCACUCAGGUUAAUCCUGUGUGAACAACUGAAAAUAUUGUUUUUCCAUCUUUACAUACUGUGUAUUUGAAAUAUUCUUGUUUAAUUGUUAUUGUUAUUUACUUUAUUGCUAUCAAAUAAAUAUCCAAGUAAUAUUGUUCAAAGUUAGCGUUAUGUUCAUACGUGUUACAAAUGCCUGUAAAUCAAAUUGAGUUCAGUGACAAUUACUGUUUGUUUGAAUCAAUUUAUUAAUAACUGUGGAGAAUCGAAAUAUUUUCCUGCUAUUAUUUGCUGCUAUUUUGAUAAUCAUCAUUACCGUUUCAGUGUUAAUAGUGAUGUUGCUUUCCUAGAUGCAUUCAGAUGUUCAAACAUAUUGGUAUCAUAUUAGUCUUUAUUACAGGUCCAGUAAGAACCACUUUAAACUGUUGAGUUGAAUCUAUAACCCGAAGUGCUUUGGAAUGUACAAUUUUAAUGUUUAUGCAGACUGCAGGGUGAAAGAGUAACUCUGUGCUAAAAGAAGACAGGAAGUUAUAUGUCUUUUGAAGUUGCAGGUUUUGCAGAAGUGAAACCGAAAGCAGAGUGAGUGCAAGUUAAGAGCAGGGUGUUUAUUAUGCAUUUAUUGCGGAUUAAGCCUUAAGUAGUUGUGGUAGACUGAAACAGUUGUUUAUAUAUUUUACAUAUAAGUCAAGAUCAUUACACACAGGAUGGCCUUAGCCUGGUUGGUUGCUUAAGUUGAGGUCAACUAAGGUUCAGAAAGCAGAUGCAAACUCUGCACGUACAGACAGACAAAUAGUGAGAGGUCAUGACAUGUACGCAGUACACAGCAUGCACGCGCCCUCGCACGUGUACGCACACACACAUACACACCAUGGUAGAUCUAUUUUGGUAGGGCAGAAGUGAAGAUGUGUUUUUGCUGCAAAGGCAGAAUUGUGCCGACGUACUUAGAGGAAGUGCAACAGAUAAAGCGACAGCGAAGGCGGGCUGACAGGAAGCAUCAGCUGUCGACACGAAGAUGAUGUUCUAUGUUAAAAGUCAUUGUGGUUUUGGAGUGACGUAUUUCUGCCUAGUAACAGAAAAGGGGGCUGUACUAUCUUAACCCCAUAAAACAGUUGUCUGAAUAUGAAAAAGACAGUUCAACACUGAUUGGGUUGUUGAACUCACACGUGUGUUCAUUAAAAUGCCGUCUAAAUUGCACACGCCUGGAUCUGUGGUUAUUUAUGGAUUCUUCUCUCAACAUUGAACCCUAACAUAACAUAAAACCUUUAAACUAAUGCAACACAUAUAACAAUGUAACAAAUAUAUUCAAAUAAAUAAAUUUCUCAAUACAUAACUCAUUUGGGAACUAAUCUUUCUAGAAGUGAAAACAGUCUGUCCGUCCUCUCCCUGCUCUCCUCUCCUCAGCCUCUCUUUGCUGCUUCAUGUCCUCUCUGAUGAGGUCUAGCAGCUCAUCAUCUCCAGGGCUCGCAAAAUUUCAAAAUCUCUGGUAGCCCUUCGGGCAGGCACUCUUCAGUUUUUGGUAGCCCAAAAUAAAUUUAAGUAGC